CGUCUAAUCAACAAAAUAAUCAGUGAAGUAUCUUUGAUGAUUUUAUCAUAUAUUUUUUUAAUUAGUUUACUUUACUAUACCUUCACACACAUGCUAGAGUAUUAUGAACUCUUGAAAAACCCAACUCCAGCUCAUAGUUGUGGUAGUUUAAUUCGUAUGUAGCCAAUGUGAACGUGCUGGCUUGACAUCUCGUUAGCUAUCAAGCAUACAUGCAGACAGACUUACCUUCUACGAUUUAUUACGUAACUGGACUUACUGCUCAACAAUACAACAUGCACAACAUUACCUGAUGUAUAUAAUCACGUAU
RNAcentral lists this long non-coding RNA (307 nucleotides) under Mytilus galloprovincialis (Mediterranean mussel). Lineage: Eukaryota; Metazoa; Mollusca; Bivalvia; Mytilida; Mytilidae. The record is from RNAcentral.